RNAcentral lists this microRNA precursor (84 nucleotides) under Procavia capensis (Cape rock hyrax). RNAcentral's name for it is "miRNA (ENSPCAG00000020576.1)". Lineage: Eukaryota; Metazoa; Chordata; Mammalia; Hyracoidea; Procaviidae. The record is from RNAcentral.
UGUUGUGGAUUAGGCUUUGGCUUAAGACAAUGGGGUGGCUGAUUGAUCUUCUAUCCAGACCGCUAAAACUUCCUCCAUAUCAAC